Molecule: ribosomal RNA, 317 nt
Filed under: uncultured eukaryote
Lineage: Eukaryota
Description: partial 18S ribosomal RNA
Rfam family: Eukaryotic small subunit ribosomal RNA
Source: RNAcentral
CCCUUAGAUGUUCUGGGCCGCACGCGCGCUACACUGGUGUGUUCAACAAGUGUUUCUCCUGCCUUCGAAAGGGCGUGGGUAAUCUUUUAAACGCACACCGUGCUUGGGAUCGAUUUUUGCAAUUUUAAAUCGUCAACGAGGAAUCCCUUGUAUUUGCAAGUCAUCAACUUGCAGAGAAUACCGUCCCUGCUCUUUGUACACACCGCCCGUCGCACCUACCGAUUGAAUGGUCCGGUGAAGCCUCCGGAUUGCGCGGCUUCGGCUGUCGCGAGAAGUUGGCUAAACCUUACCAUUUAGAGGAUGGUGAAGUCGUANCA